CACAUACACUUAUUCAAGCGGUUGGAUGAAAACACUCCAGUGACUCUCACCAUUAUGGCCAGUAAAAUAUUCUGAAAAUCCUUUCGAAAUCCCAGUGUGUACUUGAUGAAUACAGCAAAAUUUCCCUCCAACAUCUGAGAAAGGAAAACAAACACACAAAAUAAGAUUCCAUCAAGAGACAGAGUGACAUUUUCCAGCAAUGAUUGAUUGGAGCUGCUAGUCAGAGGUGUGCCGUUAAUGCAGGGGCUGUUGGCCAUGCCCACAAUCUGCCCUUGGACAGCAGUGCCAAUUACCGUACCUAACACCUCUACAGUCAUACCUGAGAGAGAGAGACGCAAAUGUGUGUGUACUAACUGUCUGGAGAGUCUGGAAGAGACAGUAGAAGAGCAGGUACCACAUUAUCUUGCCCUGCUCUAUAGGAGGAACCACCCAUAUCAGGAAAUAACACAACACAGC
Molecule: long non-coding RNA, 456 nt
Organism: Myxocyprinus asiaticus (Chinese sucker)
Lineage: Eukaryota; Metazoa; Chordata; Actinopteri; Cypriniformes; Catostomidae
Exons: 3
Source: RefSeq, a predicted model, not a curated record